UAAAAACGACUCUCGGCAACGGAUAUCUCGGCUCUCGCAUCGAUGAAGAACGUAGCGAAAUGCGAUACUUGGUGUGAAUUGCAGAAUCCCGCGAACCAUCGAGUCUUUGAACGCAAGUUGCGCCCGAAGCCAUAGGUCGAGGGCACGUCUGCCUGGGCGU
RNAcentral lists this ribosomal RNA (160 nucleotides) under Camellia sasanqua. RNAcentral describes it as "5.8S ribosomal RNA". It matches the Rfam family "5.8S ribosomal RNA". From Rfam's summary of the family: 5.8S ribosomal RNA (5.8S rRNA) is a component of the large subunit of the eukaryotic ribosome. It is transcribed by RNA polymerase I as part of the 45S precursor that also contains 18S and 28S rRNA. Lineage: Eukaryota; Viridiplantae; Streptophyta; Magnoliopsida; Ericales; Theaceae. The record is from RNAcentral.